This 292-nucleotide unclassified non-coding RNA is filed under the name Hevea brasiliensis (rubber tree). Lineage: Eukaryota; Viridiplantae; Streptophyta; Magnoliopsida; Malpighiales; Euphorbiaceae. The record is from RNAcentral.
GCCAAAUGUUCCAAUAGGUUAUAGUUGGUUCUGGACGUUUGGUAUACGGAUGACAAAAUGUGGCCUCUCGGGAUGUGCAUAUUUGCACUAAGUGCAGGCCCGGCUAAAUACAGGGCUGGAUCGGUGGUUCUGGCUUGAUGUUUAGCCUGUUUUAGUUGUUUUGGAAAAUUGCUUCUUUACAUGUAAAACGCGAAUUUCUUGAAGGUUGAAGCCAAGCCACUGGGAAACAUUUAAAAGGACUUUCUUAGCCGCCUCAUGAACUGCCUAAAAACCUACCUUAACGUUAAUUUUU